Molecule: small nucleolar RNA, 133 nt
Organism: Apodemus sylvaticus (European woodmouse)
Lineage: Eukaryota; Metazoa; Chordata; Mammalia; Rodentia; Muridae
Product: small nucleolar RNA SNORA17
Exons: 1
Source: RefSeq, a predicted model, not a curated record
CCUGUCCCUAGAGGCACCAGAGGUGUGGCUGCUGUGUCACAUGUGUGUCAGCAGGUGGCAGAGAGGAGAGAGGCUGUCUACAUUCAGUGUUCUGACCGAAUGGAAACAUCUGAAUGAUUAAUAGCCCAACAUU